CACCUUAGCUGAGGUGCCACUUCCACCCAGAGAAGACAGGCCUUCUCUGCCUGCCUUAUCCAUCUCAAAAACAGCAACAACAAAGACAAAAACUGGGCUAAGUGUCCUCUAGCAAAGUCCCCAACACCCUUAACUUUUCCAUAUUUACUACUGCCCUCUCCAGGCUCCUUUCAAAUGGGGUCCUGGCAUCUCUCAGAUCAAAGCACAGAAAACACACAAUAAACGCAGAACAAAUGGACAAAUGACUGAAUGGAUUAUCAUGUAACAUCAAGACAUGGAUGUCUGCACUGGGGCUUCUUUGUGGCAUGACCAGCUGUUGCAGAGUCAGGGAGCAAUAUCCACCCCUGGACAGUGCAUAAAAUGAAGGCUUUGCUCCUCUACCACGUCAUCCCCAACAACAAUCAGCAGAAAAGUGAAACCUGAACUUGAAAUAGCUAUGGAAGCAUGAAUUUUGCCUUAAUAAAAUAAUAGCCUC
RNAcentral lists this long non-coding RNA (475 nucleotides) under Heterocephalus glaber (naked mole-rat). RNAcentral's name for it is "lncRNA (ENSHGLG00000030090.2)". Lineage: Eukaryota; Metazoa; Chordata; Mammalia; Rodentia; Bathyergidae. The record is from RNAcentral.